UGAAGCAAUAUGAUAUUGGUGUGGAUGAA
This 29-nucleotide non-coding RNA is filed under the name Rattus norvegicus (Norway rat). Lineage: Eukaryota; Metazoa; Chordata; Mammalia; Rodentia; Muridae. The record is from RNAcentral.